AUUGAACGCUGGCGGCAGGCCUAACACAUGCAAGUCGAGCGGUAGAGAGGUGCUUGCAUCUCUUGAGAGCGGCGGACGGGUGAGUAAUGCCUAGGAAUCUGCCUAGUGGUGGGGGAUAACGUUCGGAAACGGACGCUAAUACCGCAUACGUCCUACGGGAGAAAGCGGGGGAUCUUCGGACCUCGCGCCAUUAGAUGAGCCUAGGUCGGAUUAGCUAGUUGGUGAGGUAAUGGCUCACCAAGGCGACGAUCCGUAACUGGUCUGAGAGGAUGAUCAGUCACACUGGAACUGAGACACGGUCCAGACUCCUACGGGAGGCAGCAGUGGGGGAAUAUUGGACAAUGGGCGAAAGCCUGAUCCAGCCAUGCCGCGUGUGUGAAGAAGGUCUUCGGAUUGUAAAGCACUUUAAGUUGGGAGGAAGGGUAGUAACCUAAUACGUUGCUACUUUGACGUUACCGACAGAAUAAGCACCGGCUAACUUCGUGCCAGCAGCCG
Molecule: ribosomal RNA, 495 nt
Filed under: uncultured bacterium
Lineage: Bacteria
Description: bacterial SSU rRNA
Rfam family: Bacterial small subunit ribosomal RNA
Source: RNAcentral